UGACACUCAACAUGGGCCUGCGCUGCUC
RNAcentral lists this non-coding RNA (28 nucleotides) under Mus musculus (house mouse). Lineage: Eukaryota; Metazoa; Chordata; Mammalia; Rodentia; Muridae. The record is from RNAcentral.